This 344-nucleotide long non-coding RNA is filed under the name Homo sapiens (human). Its description in RNAcentral is "HSALNT0076144". The record is from RNAcentral. Lineage: Eukaryota; Metazoa; Chordata; Mammalia; Primates; Hominidae.
GCAAUGAGUCUGAGGCACAAAGAAUCAGGUGUUGUAUAGAAAAGACAAAGAACGAUGUUUCAAAAGCUGUGGGAGACAAUGACUCACAGCAUGAACAUAGGCUUUACGAUCAUCCUAAAUUGAGAGCAAGGCCUCAAAGAAGAAAUGGCAGAAGAGCACAAGGUAGCUGAGGUACAUGAGUGAGGACCAGAAGAUGUUCUGAAAGUGAGAGUGACACUGGUCAUGCUGCAUCCAGCAGAAGACCAGGUAGUUAACCACACAGCCCAUCAGCAUCUGAGUGAUCUGGGACAAGGUGAUGAACAUGGCAAACUUCCGGGAGACUCGGAAACCUGCCGCCCGCAAGG